This 411-nucleotide ribosomal RNA is filed under the name Triticum aestivum (bread wheat). RNAcentral describes it as "partial small subunit ribosomal RNA". The record is from RNAcentral. Lineage: Eukaryota; Viridiplantae; Streptophyta; Magnoliopsida; Poales; Poaceae.
AUGCCGUCUUCUUCCUCCGCAUCGCCGCCGUCCUCCGUCGUUUUCGCGGCCACCAGCGGCCCCGUGCCCGCUGACCCUGUCGAUGAGCUCCGCCGGGAUCGACUCCUUCAACUGGUGGCCUCAACUGGAGCUGGCAGGCACCAAAGCACCGGAUCCCCUUCGUCCCCAUCUCCGACUGCCCCCGUUCUUCACCGACUCCGGCGGCGCCUUCUGCUGCUACUAAUCCUCCAAGGGCCACCGUGUGUGCCGCUCGACACCGAGACCGACGCCGCUGCUACCCAGUACGACUACGGUGUUGACGACCCCUCUCUUGCCAGAGCAACCAGACAUUGGAGUACAGGAGCCAGACGCCACCGUCGCCGACGACUACUACUACUCGGGAGGUGCCUAUUACUACGUGCAGCCCGCUGA